AUGAAAUGCAAAUCAACAAGCAUCCCAACAUGGCUCGUGUGCCGCACAAGAUCGAGCUCAAGAGUACCUGACGACCUUGACUCGAUUCGGCUGUCCCUUGGCCUACCCUCUGAACAAUCCCCUGUUGUGCUCCUCUCGUCCCCGAGAGCAACCUCCACCCCUGCUCCUCACGUGGCGGCGAUGGAGGUCGCCUCCCCGAGCCAGGGCCUACUUCAGCACGUCGAUUCCAUCCUUUUCCCCGCACCCAGCUAUAUAAUCACUAGCCUGAAUCCAAAACCGCAGUUCAUGCCCAAUCCAUCAUUCUAUUUAAUCACUAGCACUACAGUAUGCACGAUGAAGAGGAUAUUCAACCAAAUCUACAUCACCCCAAACUAA
This 375-nucleotide ribosomal RNA is filed under the name Triticum aestivum (bread wheat). RNAcentral's name for it is "partial small subunit ribosomal RNA". The record is from RNAcentral. Lineage: Eukaryota; Viridiplantae; Streptophyta; Magnoliopsida; Poales; Poaceae.